Molecule: long non-coding RNA, 1626 nt
Filed under: Lytechinus variegatus (green sea urchin)
Lineage: Eukaryota; Metazoa; Echinodermata; Echinoidea; Temnopleuroida; Toxopneustidae
Description: uncharacterized LOC121418318
Source: RNAcentral
UUCAGCGUUAUGCUAGUUUGAUUUUUCUCUAUUUAUUCAAAACAACAUAUGUCUGUGAUGGACUUGACCUUUAAAUGUAAUUCAAGGCCAAAGAACGGGGAGUGUCAUAUGUGUAUUUUAGAGAUUUUUAGAAAAUAUUUGUUAAUUCCUUAUUCUGAAAUCUGACAUGAGUGUUAAAAUAUCAUGAAAUCAAAGUUAUAUCCAAUUUCAGCUGUUUAUUCAUGAAAAGAUAUACUGCUCAUUAUCCCACCUGCUACGAAAAGCAUUGAAUCACGUAUAAAAGGAAUGAGAGAAAGUAUAAGUAAUAUCAAACGAGUUAAUGUAGUUCCUGGCAUAGUUAGAGAGGACAUCUGUAUUAUGAAAUUUUGUCAUACCAUGGACCUACAAACGGAAGGACAUUCAUUGGUUAAUUAAUGAAUACCCUAAAGUGUUUGAUUUGAUUUCUCUUUAUAUGUGUCUCCUUUAGUCCUAUGAUGGUUCAAGUCAAGUACUAAAACAGAGCUAUUCAAAUCGAUUGUGCUUUGAACGGAAAUUUUAUGAUCAUGUCUAUGUUAAUAUCAAUCCAUUACAUGUGUAUGUUUAGUAGGAAACAGAUAGGGGCUUUGAUCUUAACUGGAGCGAGCUUCAGUAUUCCAAAUGAUAUCUCUAAAAUGCGCAGACAUACAUAUUACUUCACACAAUUUUUGCACAGCUUUUGAGACCAAGUUAUAUCAUGUGACUAUAUCCAUAUCAUGUGACCUUUCACAUGACAGUAUCUUGCUAAGAGUCCAUAUAAAUGGCUCAUAUAUAUAUAAUUUAUAUGAAAGUUUGAUGGAAUCAGGUUUCAGUCAUGAAUUUCAUGAUAAGAUGGUUAAUUAUUCUGAUUAGUACGUGUUGGGUCAGUUAAAAUUGUUCAUCGCUUUCUAGCGAUUUCAAUUUAAAAAAAAAAACACUAAAUAAUUAAUGUAAUUUUAUAAAACAAAAUAAAGAGGUUUUCAGAAAUUAGACCUUUAGUAAUGUUCAUGAUAAAAAGUUAUGAAAUGUUUAGAAAUUACAAAGUAUCAAGCGAAAUUCAGGUUUGAUUUAGUUAUGAUCAAUUGAGAUUUCUUUAAAGAAACUGUCUGGAAUAAGUGUUCUAACUUUCAAUGCAAUGGCAUAUUUGGCAACCAAGAUUGGGAGCGGCCAUAUAGUACUCUUCCUCAGAGGUGUUUUAAGAUUCAUGCUUGAAUAUGCAAAAUAUGUGGAAAAGCCAGGAAAAGAAGAAUGAUAAUAACCUGUAUUUAAGGCACACAUUAUUGAAAGCGCAGUUGUGCAUUAAGCACUGAAAAUUCAUAUUACUGUUUGAUUGUUCAAAAUAAUGUUAUAUAAAAAUGAUUAUUGAUAUUAGUUCAUGCAAAAUAGUUGAAAAUCAUGAUGACUUAAAUUUCAUACAGGCAUUAUGGAAGUAUCUUUAUAUUCAUAUGACAAACAAUAUCAAUCCGAUCCCCAGUAUAUAUAUAUAGUUGUCGUGUUUGUGCAGUUUGGUGUAUACGUCUAUUUAUUAUAGCUAUGUCAUGAAACGUUUGGGCUGUUUUUGCUUGUUCAGGUUUAUGAGGUCGUGGAUAAUUGUUUUAUUGAAUGGGAGAGGGUGGGGUGGAUCAUUAUGAA